This 253-nucleotide ribosomal RNA is filed under the name uncultured bacterium. RNAcentral's name for it is "partial 16S ribosomal RNA". It matches the Rfam family "Bacterial small subunit ribosomal RNA", at positions 524 to 776 of the family's 1533-position model. The record is from RNAcentral.
UACGUAGGCAGCAAGCGUUGUUCGGAAUUACUGGGCGUAAAGCGUGCGCAGGCGGUUUUGUAAGCCAGAUGUGAAAUCCCCGGGCUCAACCUGGGAAUGGCAUUUGGGACUGCAAGGCUUGAGUGCGGCAGAGGAGACUGGAAUUCCUGGUGUAGCAGUGAAAUGCGUAGAUAUCAGGAGGAAUACCGAUGGCGAAGGCAGGUCUCUGGGCUGACACUGACGCUCAUGCACGAAAGCGUGGGGAGCAAACAGG